GUACAUAUAUGUAGGUAUCUGCAUGUAUGUAGAAACCGCUCUCGAUUUUUGGCACCUGCGAGAUGCGCGCCCACGUUGUGUGCGAUUAUUCAAUUAUGUGUGUGCUGAUAUAGAAGCGGAACGACGGGGAGCAACCCUCGCCACCACAAGGCUAAUGCUCUUCCGUGAAUUUCCACGCAAUCAGCUAUUGGACUCGAUCCAUUAGCGGCUUGCAGAUAAGGGUACUGAUUUCACAAGUGCUUUACGCAUUUCAACGGACCCGGAUCGCCUUUAUGAAUGAAUCACAUCGGCGAAUGUCCAAGAAGUCCAAAAAUGUACAAAACAAAUUUUGGCAAUAAUACACAUUGAAGGAGGAACACUUCCAUGGAUGGAUAUCGGUCGGCAGGUUGAACCCACUACAUGAGACAGGAUACCACACACCCUGUGCAAGAUGCAAGUUCCCUUAACGUUCUGUGCGCCUGGUACACAUUGCAUAUAAAGGCAAUAAGGAAAACUGGAACUAAUACCAAAUGCUUCACGGUCUAGGACCAUCGACAACGCCAUUUCCAGAUGAAAGUGGGCUAUGAUCCUUAAGAAAACACCCAUCAUAACGGCUUACUCUGUUCUUGAACACACCACUAUUAUAUGACCUGUGGAGCCCAGCACCAGCUGUAAAUUCAACUCCUCACCAGACUGGAGGCAUUCUGAGUUCAAUACUAUAUGCAUUCAGGAACUGUUUCUACUAGCGUACGGUUUCUCAAUCAGACCGGGAAAACCAGUAGAAGCAAUAGGUCUCCCGGCUACGCCAUUUCCAAGUGGAAACGGACGGUUGCUAGUGCAUGUGCUUGAUGCAGCACUUUCAUGCGUGGACCAUUCUCCGAGCCGAAAAGAUUGACUUGAUUCAACAGCAGUUAAUGGACUGCAGCCUCACCGACAACAUGACCGCAGCCCCGGAUGACUGCAUCCAAAUUUUAAUCUGGAAUUUUUAAGUUUUUAAUU
RNAcentral lists this small RNA (978 nucleotides) under Drosophila ananassae. RNAcentral's name for it is "GF27220". Lineage: Eukaryota; Metazoa; Arthropoda; Insecta; Diptera; Drosophilidae. The record is from RNAcentral.